Molecule: transfer RNA, 70 nt
Filed under: Allacta robusta
Lineage: Eukaryota; Metazoa; Arthropoda; Insecta; Blattodea; Pseudophyllodromiidae
Description: tRNA-Val
Source: RNAcentral
CAAGUUUAUUAUUUAGUUAAGAAUUUCUUUUACAUUGAAGUUUAUUGUUGUGCAAUUCAUCAAAACUUGA